AUUGAACGCUGGCGGCAUGCCUAACACAUGCAAGUCGAACGAGUGGCGGACGGGUGAGUAAUGUCUGGGAAACUGCCUGAUGGAGGGGGAUACCUACUGGAAACGGUAGCUAAUACCGCCUACCAUCAGCUGUGCCCAGAUGGGAUUAGGUUGUUGGGUGGGUAACGGCUCACCAAGGCGACGAUCCCUAGCUGGUCUGAGAGGAUGACCAGCCACACUGGGACUGAGACACGGCCCAUACUCCGACGGGAGGCAGCAGUGGGGAAUAUUGGACAAUGGGCGCAAGCCUGAUGCAGCCAUGCCGCGUGUGUGAAGAAGGCCUUCGGGUUGUAAAGUACUUUCAGCGGGGAGGCGUUACCCGCAGAAGAAGCACCGGCUAACUCCGUGCCAGCCGCCGCGGUAAUUC
This 406-nucleotide ribosomal RNA is filed under the name uncultured bacterium. Its description in RNAcentral is "partial 16S ribosomal RNA". It matches the Rfam family "Bacterial small subunit ribosomal RNA", at positions 30 to 526 of the family's 1533-position model. The record is from RNAcentral.